Molecule: non-coding RNA, 764 nt
Organism: Maylandia zebra (zebra mbuna)
Lineage: Eukaryota; Metazoa; Chordata; Actinopteri; Cichliformes; Cichlidae
Source: RefSeq, a predicted model, not a curated record
UUAAUGCCAGUUGCCCUCUUUCCUGAGUAUAAGCGAAUGAGUGACAUAAAGAGAAAAAGUACCAAUUUGUAUGCUGGUGAGUCUUGUGUAUUUUUUUCUCUGUCUCUCUAUGACAGAGAAAUAUAUAUGCUCAUUAUUGAUGUUCAAACUGAUGCUCAAAUUUCCAAGCACCACCUGAACGCCUCAUCGGUCUUUAACUAAUCACUACACCAACGGUUGUCAUUCCGCUUUGCUCUCUGCUGUGGAACUUGACUCACAUCUGUGCUUUGCCUGUGUGCAGAAGAAGAACAAGGACCAGAUCUCCAGUCUUCUCUCUCACAUCCCAACCCCCCAACCCCUCUAUCCUCUGUCCUGCUCCACCUGUUGUCUCUGCCUUCUUUCCAUCUGUAUUUCACUCUGUGGUUUGUGAGAAAUUUUGCCAAACCAAGAAUCUUAUUGCGGUUUGAUUUAAAGCCGUGUCUCUCCUGCUCUGUCUGUUCUCUCUGCUAAAUUUUCUCUCUACCUGUUUUUCACUCUUGGCUUGCUGCUGAAAAACGCCAAGCCAAUAAAGCAAUAAAGAGUGCAUAUUUUGCCUCAACCUAUGAACAAACUGAACAAACAAAGAAAACUCUGCGGUUUGAUUUAAAGCCGUGUCUCUCCUGCUCUGUCUGUUCUCUCUUCUAAAUUUUCUCUCUACCUGUUUUUCACUCUUGGCUUGCUGCUGAAAAACGCCAAGCCAUUAAAGCAAUAAAGAGUGCAUAUAUUGCCUCUACCUGAGAACAAAC